Molecule: ribosomal RNA, 253 nt
Filed under: uncultured bacterium
Lineage: Bacteria
Description: partial 16S ribosomal RNA
Rfam family: Bacterial small subunit ribosomal RNA
Source: RNAcentral
UACGGAGGGUGCAAGCGUUAUCCGGAUUCACUGGGUUUAAAGGGUGCGUAGGAGGGCAGGUAAGUCAGUGGUGAAAUCUCCAAGCUUAACUUGGAAACUGCCGUUGAUACUAUCUGUCUUGAAUAUUGUGGAGGUAAGCGGAAUAUGUCAUGUAGCGGUGAAAUGCUUAGAUAUGACAUAGAACACCAAUUGCGAAGGCAGCUCACUACUCAAUCAUUGACUCUGAGGCACGAAAGCGUGGGGAUCAAACAGG